RNAcentral lists this ribosomal RNA (2900 nucleotides) under Escherichia coli 7-233-03_S1_C2. RNAcentral describes it as "bacterial LSU rRNA". It matches the Rfam family "Bacterial large subunit ribosomal RNA". Lineage: Bacteria; Pseudomonadati; Pseudomonadota; Gammaproteobacteria; Enterobacterales; Enterobacteriaceae. The record is from RNAcentral.
UAAGCGACUAAGCGUACACGGUGGAUGCCCUGGCAGUCAGAGGCGAUGAAGGACGUGCUAAUCUGCGAUAAGCGUCGGUAAGGUGAUAUGAACCGUUAUAACCGGCGAUUUCCGAAUGGGGAAACCCAGUGUGUUUCGACACACUAUCAUUAACUGAAUCCAUAGGUUAAUGAGGCGAACCGGGGGAACUGAAACAUCUAAGUACCCCGAGGAAAAGAAAUCAACCGAGAUUCCCCCAGUAGCGGCGAGCGAACGGGGAGCAGCCCAGAGCCUGAAUCAGUGUGUGUGUUAGUGGAAGCGUCUGGAAAGGCGCGCGAUACAGGGUGACAGCCCCGUACACAAAAAUGCACAUGCUGUGAGCUCGAUGAGUAGGGCGGGACACGUGGUAUCCUGUCUGAAUAUGGGGGGACCAUCCUCCAAGGCUAAAUACUCCUGACUGACCGAUAGUGAACCAGUACCGUGAGGGAAAGGCGAAAAGAACCCCGGCGAGGGGAGUGAAAAAGAACCUGAAACCGUGUACGUACAAGCAGUGGGAGCACGCUUAGGCGUGUGACUGCGUACCUUUUGUAUAAUGGGUCAGCGACUUAUAUUCUGUAGCAAGGUUAACCGAAUAGGGGAGCCGAAGGGAAACCGAGUCUUAACUGGGCGUUAAGUUGCAGGGUAUAGACCCGAAACCCGGUGAUCUAGCCAUGGGCAGGUUGAAGGUUGGGUAACACUAACUGGAGGACCGAACCGACUAAUGUUGAAAAAUUAGCGGAUGACUUGUGGCUGGGGGUGAAAGGCCAAUCAAACCGGGAGAUAGCUGGUUCUCCCCGAAAGCUAUUUAGGUAGCGCCUCGUGAAUUCAUCUCCGGGGGUAGAGCACUGUUUCGGCAAGGGGGUCAUCCCGACUUACCAACCCGAUGCAAACUGCGAAUACCGGAGAAUGUUAUCACGGGAGACACACGGCGGGUGCUAACGUCCGUCGUGAAGAGGGAAACAACCCAGACCGCCAGCUAAGGUCCCAAAGUCAUGGUUAAGUGGGAAACGAUGUGGGAAGGCCCAGACAGCCAGGAUGUUGGCUUAGAAGCAGCCAUCAUUUAAAGAAAGCGUAAUAGCUCACUGGUCGAGUCGGCCUGCGCGGAAGAUGUAACGGGGCUAAACCAUGCACCGAAGCUGCGGCAGCGACGCUGAUGCGUUGUUGGGUAGGGGAGCGUUCUGUAAGCCUGUGAAGGUGUGCUGUGAGGCAUGCUGGAGGUAUCAGAAGUGCGAAUGCUGACAUAAGUAACGAUAAAGCGGGUGAAAAGCCCGCUCGCCGGAAGACCAAGGGUUCCUGUCCAACGUUAAUCGGGGCAGGGUGAGUCGACCCCUAAGGCGAGGCCGAAAGGCGUAGUCGAUGGGAAACAGGUUAAUAUUCCUGUACUUGGUGUUACUGCGAAGGGGGGACGGAGAAGGCUAUGUUGGCCGGGCGACGGUUGUCCCGGUUUAAGCGUGUAGGCUGGUUUUCCAGGCAAAUCCGGAAAAUCAAGGCUGAGGCGUGAUGACGAGGCACUACGGUGCUGAAGCAACAAAUGCCCUGCUUCCAGGAAAAGCCUCUAAGCAUCAGGUAACAUCAAAUCGUACCCCAAACCGACACAGGUGGUCAGGUAGAGAAUACCAAGGCGCUUGAGAGAACUCGGGUGAAGGAACUAGGCAAAAUGGUGCCGUAACUUCGGGAGAAGGCACGCUGAUAUGUAGGUGAAGUCCCUCGCGGAUGGAGCUGAAAUCAGUCGAAGAUACCAGCUGGCUGCAACUGUUUAUUAAAAACACAGCACUGUGCAAACACGAAAGUGGACGUAUACGGUGUGACGCCUGCCCGGUGCCGGAAGGUUAAUUGAUGGGGUUAGCGCAAGCGAAGCUCUUGAUCGAAGCCCCGGUAAACGGCGGCCGUAACUAUAACGGUCCUAAGGUAGCGAAAUUCCUUGUCGGGUAAGUUCCGACCUGCACGAAUGGCGUAAUGAUGGCCAGGCUGUCUCCACCCGAGACUCAGUGAAAUUGAACUCGCUGUGAAGAUGCAGUGUACCCGCGGCAAGACGGAAAGACCCCGUGAACCUUUACUAUAGCUUGACACUGAACAUUGAGCCUUGAUGUGUAGGAUAGGUGGGAGGCUUUGAAGUGUGGACGCCAGUCUGCAUGGAGCCGACCUUGAAAUACCACCCUUUAAUGUUUGAUGUUCUAACGUUGACCCGUAAUCCGGGUUGCGGACAGUGUCUGGUGGGUAGUUUGACUGGGGCGGUCUCCUCCUAAAGAGUAACGGAGGAGCACGAAGGUUGGCUAAUCCUGGUCGGACAUCAGGAGGUUAGUGCAAUGGCAUAAGCCAGCUUGACUGCGAGCGUGACGGCGCGAGCAGGUGCGAAAGCAGGUCAUAGUGAUCCGGUGGUUCUGAAUGGAAGGGCCAUCGCUCAACGGAUAAAAGGUACUCCGGGGAUAACAGGCUGAUACCGCCCAAGAGUUCAUAUCGACGGCGGUGUUUGGCACCUCGAUGUCGGCUCAUCACAUCCUGGGGCUGAAGUAGGUCCCAAGGGUAUGGCUGUUCGCCAUUUAAAGUGGUACGCGAGCUGGGUUUAGAACGUCGUGAGACAGUUCGGUCCCUAUCUGCCGUGGGCGCUGGAGAACUGAGGGGGGCUGCUCCUAGUACGAGAGGACCGGAGUGGACGCAUCACUGGUGUUCGGGUUGUCAUGCCAAUGGCACUGCCCGGUAGCUAAAUGCGGAAGAGAUAAGUGCUGAAAGCAUCUAAGCACGAAACUUGCCCCGAGAUGAGUUCUCCCUGACCCUUUAAGGGUCCUGAAGGAACGUUGAAGACGACGACGUUGAUAGGCCGGGUGUGUAAGCGCAGCGAUGCGUUGAGCUAACCGGUACUAAUGAACCGUGAGGCUUAACCU